AAGGAAUGCGUCUGGACAUGGGGGCCGAGCCGAGCCGAAAGAAGAAAGGCAGAGCCCUCACGCGUGGUAGCUGUGCCGUGUUACUAUACUUCAUGCGACAUCCUUACGUGCCUGCACACACUCGAUCGCGUCGGUGCAGUGCAGGCAUUCAUGCAGAACAAUGGCCCCAGAGUUCCCAGUAGAUGAUCAAAGUUGUAGUCUGCCCCUCUGCUUUCAGGCUUCUUUAUUGUUAGCAGACCGUUGUAUCCCCACCCUGCUCGCAUGUGAGAAGUGGGUCGCAGGUGAAGGCAGUUAGUCCAGGGUGGUUUGGGUCCUGCUUUCCGUUAUUCUGCCUGACUGAACAAACAGGACCGGGCAGGCAGGGAGAGGAAGAGCGGGAAGAAUUGAGGGCCCAGAAGACUAGCGCACUCUCCCCCCACCUCACCCCUUGCGGCAGGCUGGGUGGCCCGUUUGCCGGCGGUACCGAAGGAGGCUUUUUUUCUUUCUUUUUCUUUUUUUUUUUUUUUUUGUGCCGUCAGAAUCGGGGGCAGCUGCCGUUGUCUGAGGCCCUCUGCCCACCCCCGAGCCAGACUGUACAGGAUCUCCCAGCCAGCGCCUCCCUCUCUGCCCCCUCUCCCACAGUCACUCGCUCACACAGCCCGUGCAUCCACCUCCUGUGUGAGAUCAGCUGGGGGUGUGCAGCGUUUUUUUGUUUUUGCUUUUUUUGUUUUGUUUUUUUUGUCAGAGCCCAGGAGAGCUUACAGACGUCCAGCCAGAGGAAGAGAAAACUUUUGUGUCAGUUGCCAGGCAAAGGAGCUUUUUAUUGCCACUAAGAAGAUCCCGGUUAAGCGAGCGAGCUUGUGCGUGUGUGUGUGUGUGUGUAAAUAAUCGUGUGUGGGGGGGUGUGGGAGGUGGUUUGCCUGGGUUAAACUCUGAGCUUUUUUUUUUCUUUUUUUUCUUAAUGCAUCUGCCAUUAAUGCAAAUUGAUAGACAUUCCACUGUGCUCCAUCCUGUUUUCUCACACAGCUUCCCUUUACGAUGACAGAGCUGAAGAAGCGGGCAGUUGUGGUUUGUUGACAGUCAGAAAAGCAGGUGCAGGUGCACAAACCAGUAAAAAUCAACCCCCAUGCCACAAAUGUACACUCUACUGUUGUUCCAUUUAAACCUUUAUUGAAAUUAUGAAAGAAAAUAUUUAACGUAUUAACUAAAAGAUUUAUAUUCACUUUGUAAAUACAGUAGUCAUUAAUAUAUUAACUGUUCUUAUAAAUAAAUAAUCUUAAAAGGUUAUAAUAUUUGGAUCAGAACCGAGGCUUCAGUCAGCCCCAGUGUUUGUUUCUUUUUCUUUUUUGCUUUCUUCAUGAAAACUGAUGUGAGAACUUGACUUUGUGUGGAUGUGGGGGAGUGGAACACGUGGUUUACUGAGAUGCGAUGCAGGACAACAGCAAAAAAUAGGAAAAUAUUACUUUGUUACACACUCCCCUCCCUUCUUUAUGAACUGAUGGAAAUACUUUUUUGUGGAUUUCAUCAUAAUGGACUGUUUACUGUGUAAUGUAAGCUGUUUUCCUCCCUUCUGUCUCCUCUGAGCAAAAUUGAAAAUGCUUUGUGGAUAAAAUGAAAACUUUUCUUUUCUUUUCUUUGCAUGGUUUACUGCCCCUUUACUUUUUGUAUCUGUGGGCCACUAUCGGUCUGUUUAAUGUACAAAAAAAGAGAAAAAGAUUUCCCUGCACAUGACACACAGAUUGAGUUGGCUCAUAUGCAUGAAUAUUGAACGUGUGCAAGUUUUAUAUCGCGAGUGGAUCAGAGGCUAGCUGAAUAUAAAGUCAGAGUCAGAUCAUGAAGAGUAUAACCUGUAGCCUAAUUUGUUUGGAAUGUGUGUGUGUGUGUCUGUACUUUCUGAGUAGUUUGCAUUUUAUACACAUGGGGGCGCUGUUUAACUUUUUUAAACCACAUCACAAUGAUUUAAAAAAAGGACUAAAGAAUAAUGGGGCGUGCUGGGCCUUUUUGCAUUUUGCUGUGUUAUGAGAACUUGGAUCUAGUUUGUACAGUUUUUACAGGUGUGAACUUUGCCCAACUGACUUAAAAAAAAAAAAAAGUAAAAAAAAAAGUGGAGGUAGCUGUGUUUUAUUUACCACAUGAACAGAUUUGAAUGCAAGAUUUGCAUAACCAUUCGCCUAUGUGACGAGAACUUGUAAAUGGCUACAAGUUGACCUUUGAAGUGUUUGAAGGUGGUUUGAUUUGUAGUUGGGUGUGUGAUUUCUUUGUUUUCUCUUUUCUUUUCUUCAGGCUGUAAUUAGCCUUUUAAGUAGAGCUGAUCACACUGAUGGCCGGUCACUAAAAAGAAUACCCUGAUUUCGUUGAUACACAUCCUGUUAUAGAUGGAAAAAAGACAACUCUCCCCCCCCUUGAUGCUGUUCUGAAACAUGAAACAGUGUCUGUGUAUGACCAUUGCAUACUAUGUUGCCAAUACUACAGUGUGAUGAGACUUUUGUUCUUGCAUGAAUUGAGACACUGUUCUCCUACCUCAUGUUGUGAUAUAUAUAUUAAAAAAAAGAUGUUUUUUAAGCAGAAGACACUGCAUCUCUGUUUAUCAUCAUAGAUAUUUACUAGAAAGAUUACAUACCUGUAAAUGCUUUUAGCUAAUACCUCAGUUGUAUCUAGUGUUUGUUUUUUUUGGUUUUUUUCUGUUUUUGCCCUUUCCUGAUUUCAGAUCUUGUAAAUAAAACCCUGUAUAGACAAUGAACUUGGAUCAAAUUCAAGUAAAGUUCUGUAGUGUCAAAAUCCGUCAUGUCUUUUUUCUAGACCGCCUUUAAGUAUA
Long non-coding RNA from Astatotilapia calliptera (eastern happy), 2794 nucleotides. The record is from Ensembl. NCBI's taxonomy places the organism in Eukaryota, Metazoa, Chordata, Actinopteri, Cichliformes, Cichlidae.